This 253-nucleotide ribosomal RNA is filed under the name uncultured bacterium. Its description in RNAcentral is "partial 16S ribosomal RNA". It matches the Rfam family "Bacterial small subunit ribosomal RNA", at positions 524 to 776 of the family's 1533-position model. The record is from RNAcentral.
GACAGAGGGUGCAAACGUUGUUCGGAAUCACUGGGCGUAAAGCGCACGUAGGCGGAUUUUUAAGUCAGGGGUGAAAUCCCGAGGCUCAACCUCGGAACUGCCUUUGAUACUGGAGAUCUUGAGUCCGGAAGAGGUAAGUGGAACUGCGAGUGUAGAGGUGAAAUUCGUAGAUAUUCGCAAGAACACCAGUGGCGAAGGCGGCUUACUGGUCCGGAACUGACGCUGAGGUGCGAAAGCGUGGGGAGCAAACAGG